CGCGAUCAAAAUGGCGCUCCCACAAUCCCGCCUCUCACGUUCUUUCCUGAACUAAGUUGUUAUCGCGAGAUUUUGGCUCCACUAUUAGCUGGGUGGCGCGGUUGGCUCUGUCCUUUUUCUUCUGCGAGGUUGACGAGAAAUUUGGUGAAAGCAAAAGAACAAGUGACGGACUCGGAGGGACUGAGAGGGACUCGGAAUACCUAUCAGCAAUGGAUUCUCUGGACUAUAUAACAGCAUCGGAUUCAGCUAUGGAAAAUGAAAAUCAAAGCGAUAACUCUUCCUCUGGUAGCAGCUUAUUUAAAACUCAAUAUGUUCCUUGCUCACCUAAACGGAGGCAAAGAAAUCCUGUUAAAAAAUGUGUUAGUUCACUUGAAAGUGUUCAAGCAAGAGAUUCAUCCAGUGAUUCGUCUUUAGAACCAAGACCAUUGACUUUGAAAGCUAUUUUUGAAAGAUUCAAGAAAAAGAAACGUAGAAAGAGGAAAUAUAAGCCAACAGGAAGACCGAGAGGAAGACCAGAAGGAAGGAAAAGCACUAGGUCAAAAAUAAAUAAGAAACAACUUAAAGAUAACAGACCCCAGUUGCCUUUUUUAGAAUCAGAGAAUGGAAGAAAACCAUUACCUUGGAGAAAUAUUUUAACGUUUGAGCAAGCAGUGGCAAGAGGAUUUUUCAACUACCUGGAAAAACUGAAGUAUGAAUACCACCUCAAGGAAUCCUUAAAACAGAUGAAUGUUGGUGAAGAUUUAGAAAAAGAUGACCUUGAUAGUCGUAGAUAUAAAUACUUGGAUGAUGAUGGAUCUCUCUCUCCUAUUGAAGAUCCAGUGGGAGAGGAUGAGGUUGAAACAAACCUUGAACAUGAUGAAUGUGAUAUCAAAUUGGUGGAGAAUAAUUACUUCAUAAUAAGUUCUGAAUUACCAAAGAAGAUGAAUGUGUAUUUAGAACAAGAAUAUACUGGAGAAGCUGCUUUGUCUAAAAAGAGAGUAUCAAAGUGCAAAAACUUUGGACAGAAGACAGAACAGCCUGAAAAGGAGAUAGGAAUAUGAAUAUCAAGGGCAUUAUGUUGAAAACACAGUUUUUGGACUUAAAGGUUUUUCUAUAUCUCGAAGAUCUGUACAAUUCUAGAUAGUGAUAACUUAGGACUGAUAUGACAUGUACUUACUUAAUGUUUACAGGGUGUCUAAAAUUGAGAAACCAGGCAGAUCCAUCUACUCUGACCCUAACUGGCCCUAAAGUAAAUUGCUUGAGGAAAUUGGGCCCCAACAAUUACAGGUGGGGAGUUUUUGAAAUAUGUCCAUAUGCAAGUGGAAAUCAAAGAUCAACUAGAAGAAUUAUGGCAAGUUAUUCGUCUUUUUAUAUUAUACACCAAAUUAUUUGUUAGAGUGUAAUGGUCAUUACCAAGGCUUUUAGAAUGCAGUUUCUCAUUUGCCGUGGACAUGACCACAAAAUAUUUUCCCACUAGGUUUUUUUCUGCUAUAUUGCUAGCAUUCAGCCUAUUGGGAACAUUUUUUUAACUCUUAACUUAUUUUCACUGCCUAGGUCAGCACUGUACUAUAUAAAUACAACACAAGCUGUAUGUGCUUUUGUAAUAGCCAUUGGUAAUCAGUGAGAUUUUAAUAAUUGCUGUCAGAUUUCUAGAGUCUUCCAGAUGACCUUUGUCUAGCUAAUCCUUCUAGGGUGCUUAGUGACCAAAUAGUUUGUCAUCACAUGACCAUCUCUUCCUGUUACAUAGGACCAAUGGUCAUGGCAAGUGACUGGAUUGAGCCAAAAAGGAAUUAAAACUUAAACUCAUGAGGAACCAAGGACUCAGAACAUGUGAAAUUCCUUAAAUAAAAAUUUAUUAACUUUAAAUAAUUGUAUCUAUGUUACAGAUAAUAAAAACUCUUUACACUUUUUGUACAAAGUCA
RNA transcript from Phyllostomus hastatus (greater spear-nosed bat), 1901 nucleotides. It is a transcript of the gene named TATA-box binding protein associated factor, RNA polymerase I subunit D, with no coding region annotated. The record is from RefSeq and is a predicted model, not a curated record. The transcript is spliced from 13 exons. NCBI's taxonomy places the organism in Eukaryota, Metazoa, Chordata, Mammalia, Chiroptera, Phyllostomidae.